This is a long non-coding RNA of Mesocricetus auratus (golden hamster), 465 nucleotides long. RefSeq lists it as uncharacterized. The record is from RefSeq and is a predicted model, not a curated record. The transcript is spliced from 3 exons. NCBI's taxonomy places the organism in Eukaryota, Metazoa, Chordata, Mammalia, Rodentia, Cricetidae.
UCAUAUUAUACUACCAUCAUUUUUAACAGAAAUUUUGAAAACCUGCCUGUCUUCCUCUCCCAUCCCUCCUUACCCAAAGACUUGCAAACUGAAACAGUCGCCUCUUCCAACAGCUUCAACUCGGUACUGCAGAGACAAAAGGAGAGAGUAUAGGCACCGCUGAAGCAAGCACGAGGACUCUACUAAGUAUCUCUGGCAGAGAUUCACUGAGUCACUGGAUGCAGGUGUCUAGGCUCAAAGGAUGAAGGACUGGCUCCCUUCAAGGAUCACACUGCCACACAUGAUGACAUGGACCUUCUUCAACCUGGAGUCAUGGAAUUUGAGCACCAACCAAUGUGAGACCAACACAAGGCAGUCUUUCUGACUCACUUGGUCCUACACACUGGCAUCCCUGUACCUCCAAACGGAGAGAAUUAAGCCCACUAACACUUACUCAUGGCUAUCAAGUUCCAGAAAUCUAAUAAA